AUUGAACGCUGGCGGCAUGCCUUACACAUGCAAGUCGAACGGUAACGGGUCCUUCGGGAUGCCGACGAGUGGCGAACGGGUGAGUAAUAUAUCGGAACGUGCCCAGUAGUGGGGGAUAACUGCUCGAAAGAGCAGCUAAUACCGCAUACGACCUGAGGGUGACAGGGGGGGAUCGCAAGACCUCUCGCUAUUGGAGCGGCCGAUAUCAGAUUAGCUAGUUGGUGGGGUAAAGGCCUACCAAGGCAACGAUCUGUAGUUGGUCUGAGAGGACGACCAGCCACACUGGGACUGAGACACGGCCCAGACUCCUACGGGAGGCAGCAGUGGGGAAUUUUGGACAAUGGGCGCAAGCCUGAUCCAGCAAUGCCGCGUGCAGGAAGAAGGCCUUCGGGUUGUAAACUGCUUUUGUCAGGGAAGAAAUCUUCUGGGCUAAUACCCCGGGAGGAUGACGGUACCUGGAGAAUAAGCACCGGCUAACUACGUGCCAGCAGCCGCGGUAA
This 500-nucleotide ribosomal RNA is filed under the name uncultured bacterium. Its description in RNAcentral is "partial 16S ribosomal RNA". It matches the Rfam family "Bacterial small subunit ribosomal RNA", at positions 30 to 523 of the family's 1533-position model. The record is from RNAcentral.